AUGGGCGAGGUGCGGGGAAGGCCUGCAGGCUGCUGGGGCUCAGCAGGGGGGCUUGACGAUUGGUUACAGUUGGCAGGGAGGCAUGUCAGAGGGGGCCUCCCCAGCCCUCUCCUGCCGCCGCCUCCCUUUGUCCAGCGCCGGGCACUCCGGGGAACACCAGUCGCGCCUGCGCGCUGCGCUCCCUGCCACCGCCCCGCUGUCCCCGUCUCCCCGCUUGGCGGGCACCGGGUUGUGCGCGACGCAGUGGACGGAUACUGGGCUGAGCGCGGGACUCCCGGUUCCAUAGAGAUACGGGGCGGGUGGGGGGGAGCAAGGACGAGUGCCUGCCUGGACCCCCCCUGGCUCCUGGCUCCCAAGGAGUCGAGGGGAACAUCUCUACCGCCCUGCAGUGCCAGCAGAGAUGGAGCAAAGCAACCCUCAUAUUCCAAAUGGUGGUGUUUAACCUCAAGUUUAUUUUAAAUAUACCUGCCUGACUCUGACCAGAGAUAAAAGUGAACAUCACAAAUAAUGGGACAAAUUGACAUUAUGUGUCUUCUGAUAUGAUGCUGUGAAAGGAACACAGCACCAUAAGGUGGUAUCUGUGAUAUCCCUGGCCAAACAUAAGGAAACAAUUACACAAACCCAAACUGAGAAUCCUGCAAAAUAACUGGCAUAAAAUCUUCAAAAAUAUUGAGAUCAUGAAAGAUAAGGAAAGAUAGAAGAAUUCUUCUAGGUUGAAGAAGACUGAAGAAGUGUCAACAGUAAAUGGAUCGCAUGAUCAUGGGUUGGAUUCAAAAAUAGGAGGAAGAAAUUGUCCAUACAUAUUGGAACAACAGGUUAAUUAGAAUGGGAUGAGUGGAUGAGAUGGUGUACUAGAUGGUGAUACUGUGGAAAUGCCAGCUUCCUGCUCUUGACAACUGUGGCUGUAUAAGAGAAUGGCCUUGUCUUUUUUUUUUUUGAGACGGAGUCUCGCUCUGUUGCCCAGGCUGGAGUGCAAUGGCAAGGUCUCGGCUCACUGCAAGCUCCGCCUCCCGUUUCACGCCAUUCUCCUGCCUCAGCCUCUCGAGUAGCUGGGACUACAGGCGCCCACCACCACGCCCAGCUAAUUUAUUUAUUUAUUUAUUUAUUUGUAUUUUUAGUAGAGACGGGGUUUCACCGUGUUCGCCCGGAUGGUCUCAAUCUCCUGACCUCGUGAUCCGCCAGCCUCGGCCUCCCAAAGUGUUGGGAUUACAGGCGUGAGCCACUGCGCCCGGCCUUUGGCCUUGUCUUUUAGGAAAUUCACACUGACAUUCCUAGUGGGACUGGAGUAUCAUGUCUCUAACUUUCAGUUGUUUCAGAAAAUAGAUAAGAUAGAUAGCUAACGAUAAAGCAGCAAAAUGUUAACAACUGGGGAACCUGGGUAAAAGGUAUAUGGUGAUUCCUUGUGUUAUUAUUUCACCUUUUCUGUAAAUUUGAAAUUUUUUUCAAAAUAAAAAGUUAAAAUAAGAACUAUUGAAGUGCAUCAUGAAGCAAUUGUCAUUAGGUUACUUGUUUAACAUUACCAUUAAAAUGAAUAUGCUAUCUCCAUAAAACAAAUUGCAAAGACAGUAUAUCUAUAGAUAGGUAUACACAUACAUAUUAUAAGAUAUAAACAAAUAUAUAUAUAUAUAUAGAGAGAGAGAGAGAGAGAGAGAGAGAGAGAGAGAGAGAGAGAAUCUUGCUCUGUAACCCAGGCUGGAGUGCAGUGCUGCAAUCAUAGGUCACUGCAGCCUCGAACUACUGGGCUCAAGCAAUCCUCCUGCCUCAACCUCCCAAGUAGUUGGGACUACAGGUGCAUUCCCCCACACCUGACUAAUUAAAAAAAAUUUUUUUAAGAGAUAGGGUUUCACUAUGCUGCCCAGGCUGGUCACGCUGGUCAUAAACUCCUGGCCUCAAGUGAUUCUCCUGCUUCAGCCUCCCAAAGCACUAGGAUUAUAAAAGGGACCCACUAUGCCUGGCCCACAAUAAUCCAGAGAUUAUGGUGGUACAUAGCCAGCAUAGCAAACCAACCUUGAAUCAAGUGCUCCCAGUUCCAGGAGCUCUGGGGUAGGCCUGGGAAGGAGGAAAUUCUGCUUCCUGUCCUUGUUUUUCUCUCACAUUUCAAGUCCUGCACCCAC
Molecule: long non-coding RNA, 2114 nt
Filed under: Rhinopithecus bieti (black snub-nosed monkey)
Lineage: Eukaryota; Metazoa; Chordata; Mammalia; Primates; Cercopithecidae
Description: lncRNA (ENSRBIG00000045082.1)
Source: RNAcentral